UCGUGCUGGUGCACCGAAUGCUUUCCACACGUUCCAUCAGUCAUUGCUCCACGAGAUAAGGUUGGAUGCAAAGCGGCGGGUUCCUGUGUUGCCUACCUAUUGUUGAUGGAAAUCGUUCAAUUCGAUGUGCCUUUCGUCCUCGCGUCCUCUCGGACGUUCGGAUGGACUAGACGGAAGGGCUCGUGUACCACGGACGAAUCGCACGAUCGUUCCGAUGGACCACGAGCUUCUUCUCGUUCUCUCGGAUGCGGAAAGUCCCUCAUGGGCGUGGGUCAUUGGCCCUCGGACCCUAAUCUUUAAGCGGACGGGAAACGCUUUACAUGGGAAUGACGCUCUCGCCUCGUCUUCGACCAUGCGGAGCCCCCGGGUUCUCGCGAUGGAUCGUGCGGGGUGGACGUCGUGAAGGAAUGCUACCUGGUUGAUCCUGCCAGUAGUCAUAUGCUUGUCUCAAAGAUUAAGCCAUGCAUGUGUAAGUAUGAACUAAUUCAGACUGUGAAACUGCGAAUGGCUCAA
This 513-nucleotide unclassified non-coding RNA is filed under the name Homalospermum firmum. RNAcentral's name for it is "partial contains external transcribed spacer and 18S ribosomal RNA". The stretch from base 412 to 513 matches the Rfam family "Eukaryotic small subunit ribosomal RNA", at positions 1 to 101 of the family's 1831-position model. Lineage: Eukaryota; Viridiplantae; Streptophyta; Magnoliopsida; Myrtales; Myrtaceae. The record is from RNAcentral.